UACGAAGGGGGCUAGCGUUGCUCGGAAUUACUGGGCGUAAAGGGCGCGUAGGCGGGUUGCUAAGUUAGAGGUGAAAGCCCAGGGCUCAACCCUGGAAUUGCCUUUAAUACUGGCAGCCUUGAGUAUGGCAGAGGUGUGUGGAACUCCGAGUGUAGAGGUGAAAUUCGUAGAUAUUCGGAAGAACACCAGUGGCGAGGGCGACACACUGGGCCAUUACUGACGCUGGGGCGCGAAAGCGUGGGGAGCAAACAGG
Molecule: ribosomal RNA, 253 nt
Filed under: uncultured bacterium
Lineage: Bacteria
Description: partial 16S ribosomal RNA
Rfam family: Bacterial small subunit ribosomal RNA
Source: RNAcentral